AUGGAAUACGAAGAAUGGGCUGAGUAUGUUGCUGUUCGGGCAAAUGCUCCCAAGCCUGGCACACGGAAGCCCUCCUACAUGCCUCCUCCACCUCCAAAUCAGCCUCCUGGUGAUGCUCGCCGCAUUUCUUUUGAGCCUCCUCCGCCUCUAGGUCGCGAAAUCAAGGAUUUCACCUUAGUCUCUAAACUUGCCUACCUUAAGUUUCGUCACGAUGUUGACCAGUUCUCUGUCGAGCAUGACUUGAGGGAUCCUCACUUUCGUACCAAUGUUCAGGCAGACAUUUUUACUAUAGUCAUUGUUCCUAAGGGGUUGUCUGCCCAUCUCUAUGUUGACUUAGAGCAUAUCCGUUCUCAUCCCGUGAAAUAUUCGGGAGCCAUUGAACUCAUUGAGUCCUCUGGUCUUGCUGCUCCAUUUGCUUUUCACCAUGAUUACAAUCACGCUGUUAUUCAUCAGUUUUAUGCCACGUGUUUCUUUGGUCCUGACAAGAUCGUCACCUGGAUGACUUCUGACACCAAGCUCACCGCCUCUUAUACUCAGUUUGUUGCGGCUCUUGGGUUUCCUGACACUGGUUUCAAAAUUCAUAAAUCUGACCCACUCCCAAAAAACAUUGAGGCCUGUGGCUAUCUUCUCAAACCUAUUUCUGAGCUUGAUGAAGUGGAAAAGGGAAAAGAUCUCAAUCAAGUAUCUAUUUGGCGAUCUCCCUUUUUCAUUAUCUAUCACCGUGUCAUCUGCACCAUCUAUCCCAAGAUGGGUGACAAAGGUUCCUGUAACGGGUAUUGUAUUGAUCUCAUGUAUCAUCUCUAUGAACAUCCCAACGGAAAGAUCAAUGUUCCUCACUUCAUGUGGCAUGAGAUUCGUCUUGCUAGUCUUCAAUACAGGAGGGCCUUUCCUCAUGCUCCUUUUCUUCAAGCCUUUAUUGAGAGUAUUGCUCCUUUUCCCAUUGCUCGGACUCAUGUUCAUCCGCGGUGGGUCAUUCCACCCCAUAUGGCGAAUGAUUGGGCUCCCAAGAAAUCCUCAACUGCUCAACGGUCUGCUGCUCAGUCUCGUCCUACUCCCCCUAGCUCGGGGUCUUUCGGCCGCAUUGCUCGCUUUCUCGGGAAGGCCCAUUCAGCCAUGAUGAAGGCCGUCUCCUUCUACUGUUCUAAAAAUCAUGAUGUGGUCACUCGCAUGGUCUCUUAUAAGAAUGCUCUGAAGGCUCGUCUGAGAGCCUCCAGAGCCACAGAUGUGAGUGAGGAUGAGCGUCUUCCUGAUGCUCCUCCUUCCGACUUUGGCUUCCCUUCUGGUCCUGAAUGGGCAGAUUUCUUUGACGAGGCAGGAGGCAGUGCUGCCCAUGGCGACGACGAUGACGGUGAUGGUCUCUGA
Molecule: ribosomal RNA, 1362 nt
Filed under: Triticum aestivum (bread wheat)
Lineage: Eukaryota; Viridiplantae; Streptophyta; Magnoliopsida; Poales; Poaceae
Description: partial small subunit ribosomal RNA
Source: RNAcentral